CAUUAUAUGCAUUGUAAAAUUAGCACAAAGAAUACAAUACAUUGCAGAAAUCUAUCCUUCCAGUACAAUAAUGGCUGCCGAUAUUUACACUCAUUAGUUCAAGAAACCUAUAAAGAUCGCAGAAUUUACCAUCUAAACAACAAGAAAAACAUUUAGAGAUUAUAACGCUAUCACGAGAUCAAAACUGCGAAAUUAGAACGGAACAAGAAAAUAUCUUCCAUACCUUCGGCCGGAGAUUCGUCGGGAGAAGCGGUUGGAGGAGAGGGUGCGGAGGACGCCGAAUGCUGGACCGCCGCCACCGGAGAGGAGGGAGGAGGGGACAAAGGUCGGCGCUCAGGAAAUCCUAGAAACCCUAGGUUUUGGAGAGCGUGGAGGCGGAGGAGGGAGGAGCUAGGGUCGGCUAGGGCUUGAUAUCGAUCGAGGAUGGGGGAGAAGGGGGCGGCCGCUGGGUUUUGUUUAGAAUUAGGAUUUCGACGACGCGAAUACGCGUCGUCUUAGGUUCUACAAUACAACGAUGCUAAUUAGCGUCGUAUAUUGCCGACGCUUUUUAAAAGCGUCGAGCUUUUUAGGCGCUACAAAGGAAAUCGCCGAUGCUUGUAUAAAGCGUCGGCAAAAAAGCGUCGGCUGAAACCAAUUUUGCUGUAGUGUAUGUAGGAUCAAAAUAGAUGCAAGAAGUUAUUACUUUGUACCUUUUUUUUAUUUUUUUUAAUGAAAUAACUCUACUUUGUACUGUAAAAGCAAGAUAUGGGAUAUUACAAUUUUGCUGCUGGGUCAAUGCUGAAUUUAGCUUAUCAAAAAUAAUUCUACCAUAAAUAUUUCACCAUCUCAGCAACUUUUGCUUGCAUUAAAUAAAUUUAUUGGUGAGGGAUGAUGUUGUUAUUAUGGUGGUAAUAAUACUCAGAUAAUUCAAUUUAUUUAUUUUUUUAAAUAUGACCUAUGUG
RNAcentral lists this long non-coding RNA (941 nucleotides) under Phoenix dactylifera (date palm). Its description in RNAcentral is "long non-coding RNA (PDAC_LNC016898)". Lineage: Eukaryota; Viridiplantae; Streptophyta; Magnoliopsida; Arecales; Arecaceae. The record is from RNAcentral.